CCUACGGGUGGCAGCAGUGAGGAAUAUUGGUCAAUGGCCGAGAGGCUGAACCAGCCAAGUCGCGUGAGGGAAGACGGCCCUACGGGUUGUAAACCUCUUUUGUCGGGGAGCAAAGCGAACCACGUGUGGUUCAUUGAGAGUACCCGAAGAAAAAGCAUCGGCUAACUCCGUGCCAGCAGCCGCGGUAAUACGGAAGGUCCGGGCGUUAUCCGGAUUUAUUGGGUUUAAAGGGAGCGUAGGCCGGUCUUUAAGCGUGCCGUGAAAUUUUGUGGCUCAACCAUGAGAGUGCGGCGCGAACUGGAGACCGUGAGUGCGCGGAAGGCAGGCGGAAUUCGUGGUGUAGCGGUGAAAUGCUUAGAUAUCACGAAGAACCCCGAUUGCGAAGGCAGCCUGCCGCAGCGUUACUGACGCUGAAGCACGAAAGUGUGGGUAUCGAACAGGAUUAGAUACCCGAGUAGUC
This 460-nucleotide ribosomal RNA is filed under the name uncultured bacterium. RNAcentral's name for it is "partial 16S ribosomal RNA". It matches the Rfam family "Bacterial small subunit ribosomal RNA", at positions 338 to 795 of the family's 1533-position model. The record is from RNAcentral.